ACGCUGGCGGCAGGCUUAACACAUGCAAGUCGAGCGGCAACAGGAGAAGCUUGCUUCUCGCUGACGAGCGGCGGACGGGUGAGUAAUACUUAGGAAUCUGCCCAGUAGUGGGGGAUAGCUCGGGGAAACUCGAAUUAAUACCGCAUACACCCUACGGGGAAAAGGGGGCGCUUGCGCUCUCGCUAUUGGAUGAGCCUAAGUCGGAUUAGCUAGUUGGUGGGGUAAAGGCCUACCAAGGCGACGAUCCAUAGCUGGUCUGAGAGGAUGAUCAGCCACACCGGGACUGAGACACGGCCCGGACUCCUACGGGAGGCAGCAGUGGGGAAUAUUGGACAAUGGGGGCAACCCUGAUCCAGCCAUGCCGCGUGUGUGAAGAAGGCCUUUUGGUUGUAAAGCACUUUAAGCAGUGAAGAAGACCUAACGGUUAAUACCCGUUAGCGAUGACAUUAGCUGCAGAAUAAGCACCGGCUAACUCUGUGCCAGCAGCCGCGGUAAUACAGAGGGUGCAAGCGUUAAUCGGAAUUACUGGGCGUAAAGCGAGCGUAGGUGGCUUGAUAAGUCAGAUGUGAAAUCCCCGGGCUUAACCUGGGAACUGCAUCUGAUACUGUUGGGCUAGAGUAGGUGAGAGGGAGGUAGAAUUUCAGGUGUAGCGGUGAAAUGCGUAGAGAUCUGAAGGAAUACCGAUGGCGAAGGCAGCCUCCUGGCAUCAUACUGACACUGAGGUUCGAAAGCGUGGGUAGCAAACAGGAUUAGAUACCCUGGUAGUCC
Molecule: ribosomal RNA, 768 nt
Filed under: uncultured bacterium
Lineage: Bacteria
Description: bacterial SSU rRNA
Rfam family: Bacterial small subunit ribosomal RNA
Source: RNAcentral